GGCUGAUCCGAGUGCAGUAAUGUUUACAAUUAUUUGAUCACAACCAAUUACUGAUUUCUUUGUUCCUCUCCACUCCCACUGCAUUGAUUGACCUGCCUUAA
Mustela putorius furo (domestic ferret) is the source of this 101-nucleotide unclassified non-coding RNA. It matches the Rfam family "Y RNA". Rfam says of the family: Y RNAs are components of the Ro ribonucleoprotein particle (Ro RNP), in association with Ro60 and La proteins. The Y RNAs and Ro60 and La proteins are well conserved, but the function of the Ro RNP is not known. NCBI's taxonomy places the organism in Eukaryota, Metazoa, Chordata, Mammalia, Carnivora, Mustelidae. The record is from Ensembl.